RNAcentral lists this long non-coding RNA (110 nucleotides) under dengue virus type 2. RNAcentral's name for it is "Dengue virus type 2 partial sfRNA3". The stretch from base 6 to 77 matches the Rfam family "Flavivirus DB element". From Rfam's summary of the family: These DB elements are thought to be required for efficient translation. The record is from RNAcentral. Lineage: Riboviria; Orthornavirae; Kitrinoviricota; Flasuviricetes; Amarillovirales; Flaviviridae.
AUCUGGGAGGCCACAAACCAUGGAAGCUGUACGCAUGGCGUAGUGGACUAGCGGUUAGAGGAGACCCCUCCCUUGCAAGUCGCAGCAACAAUGGGGGCCCAAGGUGAGAU